RNAcentral lists this ribosomal RNA (117 nucleotides) under Periophthalmus magnuspinnatus. The record is from RNAcentral. Lineage: Eukaryota; Metazoa; Chordata; Actinopteri; Gobiiformes; Gobiidae.
GAUUAUGGUCGGGCCAGCUUGUCAAAAGCCUGAUCUCAUCAGAUCUCAGAAGCUAUAAGGCCAGGCCUGGUUAGUACUUGGAUGGGAAACCAUUGGAAAUAACAGGUGCCACAGUUG